This 740-nucleotide ribosomal RNA is filed under the name uncultured archaeon. RNAcentral's name for it is "bacterial SSU rRNA". It matches the Rfam family "Archaeal small subunit ribosomal RNA", at positions 136 to 859 of the family's 1478-position model. The record is from RNAcentral.
AAAACUGGGGUUAAUUCCCGAUGGGUGAGGAGGCCUGGAAUGGUUCUUCACUGAAAGGGCGCUAGAGGCAUGCUCUCUAACGUUGCCCAAGGAUGGGGCCGCGGCCGAUCAGGUUGUUGGUGAGGUAACGGCUUACCAAGCCUAUAACCGGUACGGGCCGUGAGAGCGGAAGCCCGGAGAUGGGCACUGAGAUAAGGGCCCAGGCCCUACGGGGCGCAGCAGUUGCGAAAACUCCGCAAUGCACGAAAGUGUGACGGGGCUACCCCGAGUGCCGUCCGCUGAGGAUGGCUUUUCUCCGCUGUAAGGAGGCGGAGGAAUAAGGAGAGGGCAAGACUGGUGUCAGCCGCCGCGGUAAUACCAGCUCUCCGAGUGGUAGGGGUGAUUAUUGGGCUUAAAGCGUCCGUAGCCGGCCUGGCAAGUCUUCCGUUAAAUCCAGCAACCUAAUUGUUGGGCUGCGGGGGAUACUGUUAGGCUUGGGGGCGGGAGAGGCCGACGGUAUUCUCGGGGUAGGGGUGAAAUCUUAUAAUCCCGAGAGGACCACCAGUGGCGAAGGCUGUCGGCUAGCACGCGCCUGACGGUGAGGGACGAAAGCUGGGGGAGCGAACCGGAUUAGAUACCCGGGUAGUCCCUGCUGUAAACGAUGCGAGCUAGGUGUUGGGGCGGCUACGAGCCGCUUCAGUGCCGCAGCGAAGGCGUUAAGCUCGCCGCCUGGGGAGUACGGCCGCAAGGCUGAAACUUAA